GAUGAACGCUGGCGGCGUGCUUAACACAUGCAAGUCGAACGGGAAACCUUUUAUUGAAGCUUCGGCAGAUUUAGCUGGUUUCUAGUGGCGGACGGGUGAGUAACGCGUGGGUAACCUGCCUUAUACAGGGGGAUAACAACCAGAAAUGGUUGCUAAUACCGCAUAAGCGCACAGGACCGCAUGGUCCGGUGUGAAAAACUCCGGUGGUAUAAGAUGGACCCGCGUUGGAUUAGCUAGUUGGCAGGGUAACGGCCUACCAAGGCGACGAUCCAUAGCCGGCCUGAGAGGGUGAACGGCCACAUUGGGACUGCGACACGGCCCAGACUCCUACGGGAGGCAGCAGUGGGGAAUAUUGCACAAUGGGGGGAACCCUGAUGCAGCGACGCCGCGUGAAGGAAGAAGUAUCUCGGUAUGUAAACUUCUAUCAGCAGGGAAGAUAGUGACGGUACCUGACUAAGAAGCCCCGGCUAACUACGUG
This 478-nucleotide ribosomal RNA is filed under the name uncultured bacterium. Its description in RNAcentral is "partial 16S ribosomal RNA". It matches the Rfam family "Bacterial small subunit ribosomal RNA", at positions 28 to 507 of the family's 1533-position model. The record is from RNAcentral.